This 2908-nucleotide ribosomal RNA is filed under the name Citrobacter freundii. RNAcentral describes it as "23S ribosomal RNA". It matches the Rfam family "Bacterial large subunit ribosomal RNA". Lineage: Bacteria; Pseudomonadati; Pseudomonadota; Gammaproteobacteria; Enterobacterales; Enterobacteriaceae. The record is from RNAcentral.
GGUUAAGCGACUAAGCGUACACGGUGGAUGCCCUGGCAGUCAGAGGCGAUGAAGGACGUGCUAAUCUGCGAUAAGCGUCGGUAAGGUGAUAUGAACCGUUAUAACCGGCGAUUUCCGAAUGGGGAAACCCAGUGUGAUUCGUCACACUAUCAUUGCGUGAAUACAUAGCGUAAUGAAGCGAACCGGGGGAACUGAAACAUCUAAGUACCCCGAGGAAAAGAAAUCAACCGAGAUUCCCCCCAGUAGCGGCGAGCGAACGGGGAGCAGCCCAGAGUCUGAAUCAGCUUGUGUGUUAGUGGAACGGUCUGGAAAGUCCGACGGUACAGGGUGAUAGUCCCGUACACCAAAAUGCACAGGUUGUGAACUCGAAGAGUAGGGCGGGACACGUGGUAUCCUGUCUGAAUAUGGGGGGGACCAUCCUCCAAGGCUAAAUACUCCUGACUGACCGAUAGUGAACCAGUACCGUGAGGGAAAGGCGAAAAGAACCCCGGCGAGGGGAGUGAAAAAAGAACCUGAAACCGUGUACGUACAAGCAGUGGGAGCCUACUUGUUAGGUGACUGCGUACCUUUUGUAUAAUGGGUCAGCGACUUAUAUUCUGUAGCAAGGUUAACCGUAUAGGGGAGCCGAAGGGAAACCGAGUCUUAACUGGGCGUUAAGUUGCAGGGUAUAGACCCGAAACCCGGUGAUCUAGCCAUGGGCAGGUUGAAGGUUGGGUAACACUAACUGGAGGACCGAACCGACUAAUGUUGAAAAAUUAGCGGAUGACUUGUGGCUGGGGGUGAAAGGCCAAUCAAACCGGGAGAUAGCUGGUUCUCCCCGAAAGCUAUUUAGGUAGCGCCUCGUGAAUUCAUCUUCGGGGGUAGAGCACUGUUUCGGCUAGGGGGUCAUCCCGACUUACCAACCCGAUGCAAACUGCGAAUACCGAAGAAUGUUAUCACGGGAGACACACGGCGGGUGCUAACGUCCGUCGUGAAGAGGGAAACAACCCAGACCGCCAGCUAAGGUCCCAAAGUCAUGGUUAAGUGGGAAACGAUGUGGGAAGGCACAGACAGCCAGGAUGUUGGCUUAGAAGCAGCCAUCAUUUAAAGAAAGCGUAAUAGCUCACUGGUCGAGUCGGCCUGCGCGGAAGAUGUAACGGGGCUAAACCAUGCACCGAAGCUGCGGCAGCGACACUAUGUGUUGUUGGGUAGGGGAGCGUUCUGUAAGCCGUUGAAGGUGUAUCGUGAGGUAUGCUGGAGGUAUCAGAAGUGCGAAUGCUGACAUAAGUAACGAUAAUGCGGGUGAAAAACCCGCACGCCGGAAGACCAAGGGUUCCUGUCCAACGUUAAUCGGGGCAGGGUGAGUCGACCCCUAAGGCGAGGCCGAAAGGCGUAGUCGAUGGGAAACAGGUUAAUAUUCCUGUACUUGGUGUUACUGCGAAGGGGGACGGAGAAGGCUAUGUUAGCCGGGCGACGGUUGUCCCGGUUUAAGCAUGUAGGCGGAGGUUCCAGGUAAAUCCGGUACCUUUUUAACGCUGAGGUGUGAUGACGAGGCACUACGGUGCUGAAGUAACAAAUGCCCUGCUUCCAGGAAAAGCCUCUAAGCAUCAGGUAACACGAAAUCGUACCCCAAACCGACACAGGUGGUCAGGUAGAGAAUACCAAGGCGCUUGAGAGAACUCGGGUGAAGGAACUAGGCAAAAUGGUGCCGUAACUUCGGGAGAAGGCACGCUGAUAUGUAGGUGAAGUGAUUUACUCAUGGAGCUGAAAUCAGUCGAAGAUACCAGCUGGCUGCAACUGUUUAUUAAAAACACAGCACUGUGCAAACACGAAAGUGGACGUAUACGGUGUGACGCCUGCCCGGUGCCGGAAGGUUAAUUGAUGGGGUUAUCCGUAAGGAGAAGCUCUUGAUCGAAGCCCCGGUAAACGGCGGCCGUAACUAUAACGGUCCUAAGGUAGCGAAAUUCCUUGUCGGGUAAGUUCCGACCUGCACGAAUGGCGUAAUGAUGGCCGGGCUGUCUCCACCCGAGACUCAGUGAAAUUGAACUCGCUGUGAAGAUGCAGUGUACCCGCGGCAAGACGGAAAGACCCCGUGAACCUUUACUAUAGCUUGACACUGAACACUGGUCCUUGAUGUGUAGGAUAGGUGGGAGGCUUUGAAGUGUGGACGCCAGUCUGCAUGGAGCCAUCCUUGAAAUACCACCCUUUAAUGGCUGGUGUUCUAACGUGGACCCGUUACCCGGGUUGCGGACAGUGUCUGGUGGGUAGUUUGACUGGGGCGGUCUCCUCCUAAAGAGUAACGGAGGAGCACGAAGGUUAGCUAAUCCUGGUCGGACAUCAGGAGGUUAGUGCAAAGGCAUAAGCUAGCUUGACUGCGAGAGUGACGGCUCGAGCAGGUGCGAAAGCAGGUCUUAGUGAUCCGGUGGUUCUGAAUGGAAGGGCCAUCGCUCAACGGAUAAAAGGUACUCCGGGGAUAACAGGCUGAUACCGCCCAAGAGUUCAUAUCGACGGCGGUGUUUGGCACCUCGAUGUCGGCUCAUCACAUCCUGGGGCUGAAGUAGGUCCCAAGGGUAUGGCUGUUCGCCAUUUAAAGUGGUACGCGAGCUGGGUUUAGAACGUCGUGAGACAGUUCGGUCCCUAUCUGCCGUGGGCGCUGGAGAAUUGAGGGGGCUGCUCCUAGUACGAGAGGACCGGAGUGGACGCAUCACUGGUGUUCGGGUUGUCAUGCCAAUGGCAUUGCCCGGUAGCUAAAUGCGGAAGAGAUAAGUGCUGAAAGCAUCUAAGCACGAAACUUGCCCCGAGAUGAGUUCUCCCUGAGACUAUAAGUCUCCUGAAGGAACGUUAAAGACGAUGACGUUGAUAGGUCGGGUGUGUAAGUGUAGCGAUACAUUGAGCUAACCGAUACUAAUGAACCGUGAGGCUUAACCUU